UACGUAGGUGGCAAGCGUUGUCCGGAAUUAUUGGGCGUAAAGCGCGCGCAGGCGGUCCCUUAAGUCUGAUGUGAAAGCCCACGGCUCAACCGUGGAGGGUCAUUGGAAACUGGGGGACUUGAGUGCAGAAGAGGAAAGUGGAAUUCCAUGUGUAGCGGUGAAAUGCGAAGAGAUGUGGAGGAACACCAGUGGCGAAGGCGACUUUCUGGUCUGUAACUGACGCUGAGGCGCGAAAGCGUGGGGAGCAAACAGG
RNAcentral lists this ribosomal RNA (253 nucleotides) under uncultured bacterium. RNAcentral describes it as "partial 16S ribosomal RNA". It matches the Rfam family "Bacterial small subunit ribosomal RNA", at positions 524 to 776 of the family's 1533-position model. The record is from RNAcentral.